UCAGGACGAACGCUGGCGGCGUGCCUAAUACAUGCAAGUCGAACGCUUCUUUCCUCCCGAGUGCUUGCACUCAAUUGGAAAGAGGAGUGGCGGACGGGUGAGUAACACGUGGGUAACCUACCCAUCAGAGGGGGAUAACACUUGGAAACAGGUGCUAAUACCGCAUAACAGUUUAUGCCGCAUGGCAUAAGAGUGAAAGGCGCUUUCGGGUGUCGCUGAUGGAUGGACCCGCGGUGCAUUAGCUAGUUGGUGAGGUAACGGCUCACCAAGGCCACGAUGCAUAGCCGACCUGAGAGGGUGAUCGGCCACACUGGGACUGAGACACGGCCCAGACUCCUACGGGAGGCAGCAGUAGGGAAUCUUCGGCAAUGGACGAAAGUCUGACCGAGCAACGCCGCGUGAGUGAAGAAAGGUUUUCGGAUCGUAAAACUCUGUUGUUAGAG
This 443-nucleotide ribosomal RNA is filed under the name Enterococcus faecalis. Its description in RNAcentral is "bacterial SSU rRNA". It matches the Rfam family "Bacterial small subunit ribosomal RNA", at positions 24 to 444 of the family's 1533-position model. The record is from RNAcentral. Lineage: Bacteria; Bacillati; Bacillota; Bacilli; Lactobacillales; Enterococcaceae.